This 253-nucleotide ribosomal RNA is filed under the name uncultured bacterium. Its description in RNAcentral is "partial 16S ribosomal RNA". It matches the Rfam family "Bacterial small subunit ribosomal RNA", at positions 524 to 776 of the family's 1533-position model. The record is from RNAcentral.
UACGUAGGGAGCAAGCGUUGUCCGGAAUCAUUGGGCGUAAAGCGCGCGUAGGUGGCCUCAUAAGUCCGCUGUGAAAGUCAAAGGCUCAACCUUUGAAAGCCGGUGGAUACUGUGGGGCUAGAGUACGGAAGAGGCGAGUGGAAUUCCUGGUGUAGCGGUGGAAUGCGCAGAUAUCAGGAGGAACACCGAUGGCGAAGGCAGCUCGCUGGGACGGUACUGACGCUGAGACGCGAAAGCGUGGGGAGCAAACAGG